UUUUUUUUUAAAUAUCAGGAGGUUUUGGACUGAAGCCCGUAAUCCCCUAGGUCUGAAACCACAGCAUGUAAUAUUAGUUUCGUCUCAAGCGUCACUCGAAUUUCGCCAAUUGAGCUAACAACACUUGGUGGAAUCAUACGUUUAUCUGUUUAUAUUUUCAACAAAAAUUAUCAUUCCGUAAUCUUAUGAUUUCUUUGUAAGUGCAAGUGGUCUUUGAAGUUUUUGAUUGAAUUUUGUUGGCUUUUAGUA
RNAcentral lists this small RNA (249 nucleotides) under Arabidopsis thaliana (thale cress). RNAcentral's name for it is "ATSL079360". The record is from RNAcentral. Lineage: Eukaryota; Viridiplantae; Streptophyta; Magnoliopsida; Brassicales; Brassicaceae.